AUGGAAUGGACCGAACAAGAGAAUAUUCAUGUUUCACCUCGACGCAUGGACUCCGGAUUCAAAGUUUUACAGGAGAUGGCCCAUCUGUAUGAAACCAUCGGGAAUGACAUGGUUCAUAACAUGCCUAGGACUGAUGAUCCAAUAAGUCUCAGGAAGCGACUAAUGGUCCAGAUGUUGAUGGUCAGGGAGAAUGAAGCAAAGGACAACAUUCCAGAUCAAGUUAGAGUAGCGUUGAGAUUUAUUGGUGGCUAA
Molecule: ribosomal RNA, 252 nt
Filed under: Triticum aestivum (bread wheat)
Lineage: Eukaryota; Viridiplantae; Streptophyta; Magnoliopsida; Poales; Poaceae
Description: partial small subunit ribosomal RNA
Source: RNAcentral